Marmota monax (woodchuck) is the source of this 8039-nucleotide long non-coding RNA. RefSeq lists it as uncharacterized. Lineage: Eukaryota; Metazoa; Chordata; Mammalia; Rodentia; Sciuridae. The record is from RefSeq and is a predicted model, not a curated record. The transcript has 8 exons.
AUGAAAUACAAAUUGACAGUUCAGAGUUGUUUUUCAGAAAAUGAUGUGGAGGUGCAACUGAUUACCAUUCUGGAAGUGUGUUAUGAGUGGCUCAGUGAAGGUAAAAACCUUGCCUGUCUCCAAAUGUGUGAAGGCAGAAUGAAUAUGGGAUAGAUAAAAUUUUCCCAAGCUUAGUUGUUACUCCAAGUGGAGGAGAAAUUUUGUUAAUAUUUUAAAGGUAUUGAUGAAUAUAUUCUGGUUAUAUUAAUUUAGAAUGGUAUUGAAAACUGGAUACUAAGUGUGUUGCUUGAAGUUACUUUUGAGGUUCCUUAGUUCUGGGGAUUGAAUCCAGGACCUCAGAUAUGCUGAGUGAGCACUCUAUCCCUGUGCUAUACUCAGAGCAAAUGCGUCUCUCCUGAGGCUGGUAUUGCCUUCAGUUUCAUACUAUUAGUAUAAUUAUUACUAAAGAGAACCUAACUGUAGUUGCCAAUUUAGUUUCCAUCUUUUAUGGAAAAUAGUUGACAUUGGCAGGAUUUAGGUUUUUUUUGUUUUCAUAUAAAAUAGUACACAUGAGGAUGUAUUUAUUAGGCUCUGUAAGAAACCAGGAAAAUUCUAUUAGCUUAGUAGUUUAAUUAAACUAUAUUCUGGCUAAUAAAUGAAUGCAUGUACUGGGAAGAUAUUCAGAGAUCCUAUCUUUGAGAUGUUUGAAGUACCCUGUGAAUUACAAGGUUUUCCCCCCUUACUGUCACUUGGGAGCAAGUCUUAUUCUAAAAAUAAAGGUUUUAGGAAAUAUUUUUGAUCCCCAUUAUUUUUAAAUUUAAUAAUAUUAUUUUUUUUGCUUUGUGUAAACUCAGAAUAGCCCUUAAUAUUCAGAACAUUUGGGAUAUUCUUCCUUUAUUUUAGUUAAAAUUUUACUCUCUGCUGAUUAAAUUCACAGUUGUAAAUGGGUUCAGUUGAUUUUCAAAUCCAUAUUUAUGUUAGUCAUAUUAGCAAUAAUUUUAUCACCAGGCAGUGCUAUUAACAUCCUGUGAAAGAGGUCAGAGUAUACCCCUCACUGUUCCACAAAUAUUCAGAGUCAAAUUGGUAGGGGAUUAGGUUUCAUUCAAAGCCAGUUUUGAAGGAAGUCACAAAAAGCUUUUAAUGUUUGUUUCAGAUCAUCUUUCAUAGUCUCUAGGGUGAGGAAAGAUUAAGAGAAGACCUGGCAAAAUGAGAAAAAGGCAGGAGAUAUAAAUAUGCAGAUUGAGUCAGUCUGUGCUAGACUGUCCUGGGCAGGGGGCAGUCUCCACACUCAACUUCCUUGGUGUCCCCCAGGCCAUGGGUAGGGGCAGCCCCUCAGCUUUUAGUCUCAGCAUGAGGAAAUUGUUCUCAGUUUUAGAGGAGACCCCAAUUUUAGACUUUUUCAAAUGCCCCUGUGUAGUUCACCCCUCAGUUCUUGUGGGGAUUUGGGAUCCAUGUCAUCUGACUGGCAGUCUAGUUUUGAGUCAGUGUGUAGAACUUGAACAUUAGGCAAAACAGUUGCUUAUUCCUUCAGGACUCAAAUUCUGAACUGUUUAAUAGUUGUAUUUAUGGGAAGGGCCUUAGCAUUAGUCUUUGUAAGAACUCUUUUUCAUAAGUCCUUGGCUAUAUGUUUUUAGUGAUGUUUGACAAAUGACUCCAUGGAUUUCCCCACCUCUGAAUGAUUUCCUCUGAAGUUACUACUGGUUAUUUGCCAACAUGGGGACCUUGUUCUGUUCUUUCAUCUAAGAAGUCCCAUAUGAACUUUUUUUUUCUAAUGCUGACGAUUGAACUCAAGAUCUUGAACAUGCUAAGCAUGUCCACUACCAGGGAGUUGCAUGUCUAGCCCUCCAAAAAAAAUAUUAUAAGGUCUCAUCAGAAUUUUUGAGAAGUUGUGCUACUAUUCACUUAUGAUUUUCUGUUCACAAUGUUACAUGUGAAAAAUGUAAAGUACCAGUGCAAUGGAGAGGAAAAAAAAAAAAAGCAAGAGGACAGGUCAUCAGGAAAGGGCUCUCCAAUGAGGAUGUUGAACAGACAUCGGAGGUGGUCACCUGGUGGAGCAAUGCAAGUCCAAGUGCCAGUGUAAGGACCAGCAAAGAGGAUUUUGAUUCAUUCCCCAUUUCAACACAGAUUUAAGAUUUUAUGUAUAGGGGCUUUGAUGAUGAUGAUGAUGAUGAUGAUUUCCCUGAAUUCUCGAAUCUGGUCGGUUUAAAGGUCAUAAAAUUCUCCUACAGGGUAACUUGUGUUCUCCUUAUCAGCAGAAAGGAAACUUUGGGGCUUGAAUAUCUCAAUAUAGUUGUUCGCUAAGGAAUAUAACAUAGACUACUGAAUUAGGUCAGGAAGAACUGUGGUAAAUUGUUUUUAAAGAAAGCAUGUAGAGGGUAGUGUACUGGGCCUACUUUGUAGAACUGUCCCCUUAACUUCAUGUUCCUACCACUCAUGUCUGUCUGUUACCUGUCAACAGGACUGGCUUUUACAGAAAAGUUGAUUUUCUUUGGAUAAAGAUGACAGAACUAAUCAGAUUGUAUUUAUUAGUUCAAAUUAUACAGAAUUAAUUGCUUUGCUCUUAUUAAUAUUUUGUAGUUUUUUCUGGCCUAAGAGCUAAUCUUCCCCCCAAAUCUGUUGCAUAAAAUAUAUGGGAGAAUGGGUGGUAAUUGUGCUUUGUUUCAAAUUCAAGCCACUUGAAUUUUUCUCCUAGCCAGAACCAGAAAUCAAUGCUAGGCACAUAUGACCCUGGGAGACAACUGCUCAGAGAGAGCCUCUGCUUCCUCAGGUUGCAUUCAGUGAGGCACAUGGAGCACAUCUCCCUGGAGGAAGGCAUAUUUCUAGCUUCCUGAAAUCAAUACACAAUGACUGUUUUGUAGCUCCAGAUAAAUAAAAUGAACUUUCUCAUCUACAGAUAUGGCAUUUCUAUUUUACUUAUAAAAUUUGGACCAGUUUUUGAUUCAGUCAUCCAUCCAUUCAUUUAUUUUUUGCAGUUUCUACUCUGCCUCAGCUUUGAAUGAUAUUGGGAACUCUCAACUUCCUCAUCUAUACAUGUGGCACUAAUAUGCCUUUCUGUAAACUUAGUGCAAGCUUGAGAAUGCUUGUAGAAUAUGUUUUUACACAGUAAAAAUUAUAAGGUCUCAAAGAUCUUAUUUUUAGUUUUUAUCAAUGAAUUUUUAGUUUUUAUCAACUUUUUUUUUAGGGAAAGAGAGAUGUUUUCUUCUUCCUUCUCAGUAUUCUAUUGUUCCCUCUGACUUUCCUAUCUAUUCUCUUCUCUACCUUAAGUUACAAGCAAGGUGUACCAGAGGGUGGGAUCUUUGGGUGCAUAAAUUUUAUCUCAAUAAAGCAUCAUUGAAAAAGAAUAUAUUCAGCCAAAUCAUCUAGAUUAUUAAUUUUUGCUUCCCAUCUUGAGGUGUGCUGACAUGGAUUUUUUUCCCCCUAAAAGACAAAUUUCAGUUUCCUCAAGGCCUAUGCCACCUAUAGAUAUAGAAAGGGUGCUACAUUCCUUUGGACUCUUUAAUUUUCACCAAAAUAUUUUAAUCACUUUACCUUAGAAAGAAAUACAGUAUAAAUCAGCUCACUUGAUACAGGCUGUAGCUAUGAACUGCCAAACUCCUAUAAAAAAUGGAAGACAAAAUGUCUGAGUUGCCAGAUAUGCAAGAUACCCAGACCUUAUCAUUACACAUUGCAAACUUGCAUUGCAAUGCCACACCAAACAUAGGAUAGAUGUUCAAUUAGUAUGUGUCAUUUAAAAAUAUGCAUUAAAAAUCUUGAUGAAAAUAUUUACAAAAUAUUUAAAAGCAUAAAGUCCAUCUAGCCCUCCAUAAAAUCUAGGUUUGUCCCAAAUAAGACCCAGCCAUCAAAUAGAAGGACAUGGGGCCACAGAGUCUUAGCAUUCAUGUGCAUCCAUAAGAUGUAGAACAAGGAAAACUACAACUACAACAAUCCUCCCUAGGAAGUGCACAUAGAACAUGUGCUAUUGUAAGCAUUAUGGAUCACACUGAGGGUGCUCUCUAUUGCCAUUUCUCAGUCUCCUCUGCCUCCCUGUGUGAUACUUACAAAAGAUAUUUCCCUCAAAAGUAAAUGCCAGGGGAAGCUGCUCUAAAGAGUCAGCAUGCUUCCCCUUUAUUGUAACUGAAUAGUGUAACUGAUCAUUACCUUUUAUUAUGACCUCCAGGAUGAAACUUAAGUGCAAAAGGGCCUUGUGUCUGCCCGUGUCCAUUCCAAUGUGCUCCCUCAUGACAUCUUUCCACUCUAGGUUGUAUUUUAUUUUGACAUCAUAUUUCAGCUCACUUCAAAUGUUUCAUGGGUGCUUCAUGAGAUAUAAAUGCUGAAAUAGAUUUUGCAUGUGUGUAUAUUGUAAUAAAUCUUAUGUAAAAGAAUGUGUUUCCUAAAGGAACUAGUGCAUAAAGUCCAGGAUCCUGACUUUAGACGCUCAAUGAACAUUUAUAGUAAAAUCUGUAUGAUUUUCUGAAAAAAAUAAGUGAGCAUUCACAUUUCUACAAUCAUAUAAGAAAAGAAAAUUGGGCAAUGUUAUAGAUAUAAAUAUUUUUAAUUAAUAAGAAUUGCAAAUUAAUUUUUGGUAUAUAAUAUCUUUUUGUAUUAUUUGAACAUUCUCAAUAUUAUUUUUAACCCGUAUUUUAACAAGUGGUUAAUUUUUAAAGUUAUUAUUAAAGUUCACCCAUUGACAUUAAAAUUACAAAAGGGAGCUGCAGACCUUUUUAGCAAACCAACCAAGCUUGUGGACAAAUAUUACAUCCUAGAAACAAGAAAUAAAAUAUGUUUGUCUGUCGUGAGUCAGCCAUGGGCUGUGUGUGUGAGCUAUGUUCAUUUGAACAUAUGGGAGGACUGACCUGGUGUUGCGUGCUCUUUGGGCCAUGCAACACACGUGUGCAGUUUCCUCUCGUUCUGCCUGUUUCCACACAGCACCUGAGAUAAGCGUGACUUGCCAAGAUGUCAAUCAAGCUACUGACCACAGGGCAUCAUGAAGGUAGAUUCAACUUCCUGAACCUGACCCCUUUGGUAUGAACACUCCAUGGAACCUCCCUUUGUGUGCACCGCACCCCUUCCAUAAAAAAUAAAGAAUCCAGGUGUAAGCUGUCUUUUUCCCACAGACCCCUAAGAUCAAGAGCCGUCUGGACUUUGAAAGGGGAUUUUUUUUGUGCCCUUUGGAAUCCAUACCUUCAAUAAUUUUGAUAUGAAGGAAGAACUUUCCAAGGCCUCCUAUCACAAAGAAGUUCUUGCCCCUUAUAUUUCCCUCUAUCCUUCUGGUAUUAUACCUCCUUAAAUUAUGUGUAAUUUUUUAAAUGGAAUGUUAAUCAACCAACAAGCCUAAGACUUUUAUUAGAUGCACAUAAUUUUACUAGGCAACAUGAAGGGCAUAAACAAAUACAAACCAUGCACUGAAAACACAUAUAAUCUGGUUGAGAAGAAUACAUAGAGACCUUUUGGAGGUGGUGGGUACUGGCGAUUGUGCUGAGUGGCAUUUGACCACUGAGCCAUAUCCCCAGCCCUCUUUUGUAUUUUAAGUAGAGACAGGGUCUCACUGAGUUGCUUAAUGCCUCGCUUUUGCUGAGGCUGGCUUUGAAUUCCUGAUCCUCCUGCCUCAGCCUCCCGAGUCGCUGGGAUUACAGGUGUGCACCAACACGCCCAGCAGGAAUAUGUAUUUUGCAAUACAGAAAGAUACAGACAGUCUCUCAUUCAUUCAUUCAGUAGGUAAAACCUGAUUAUCUCUGAAUAAUUUGCCUCUAAGUGUUUUUCCUCCCUUUUCCAGUAUCUAUGUUUUACAGGUACUCAAUAAAGACUUAUUAUCUGAAGCAAUAACAUAUAUAUUAUCUUUCCCUGGCCCCUUCCUCUCCACCCUCCCAACUCUCUCUCUCUCUCUGCUCUCCAGCUACCAUGAGCUGAGUGGCUUUCCUCUGCCAUGCACUUGCAUGACAUUUCUGCAAUAGUCAUCUGAUCAUGAACUAGGACAUCUGAAACCAUGAACCACAAUAAAUCUUUUCUCCUUUAUUCUUGUCAUGUAUUUUGGUGAAAAACUAACCAACACAGCAUUUGCAAAGCAUUUAUAUCAAGUCCCUAUCAAAUCACUAUUAUUAGUUAAUAAAAUAUAGUGGGUGUGAGAAAACAUUAGGCAUUAAAAAAGAACUACAUGGACAUGUUUUGAAUGACAUAGCAACAACACUCAUAAUAAUUCUAAUGAUAAUGGCUUAUGCUUUAGAAGCUACUAUGUGUUAGACCCUGUUCGAAGGGUUUCUUCAUACAAGAAAACUUAUUUAAUUUUUAUACUAACCCUCUAAUCCACUCUGCCCCUGCCUCUCAAGUCACAUACAUGUAUGCUUCAGAAAGAGUUUUCAUGUAAAAUAAAAAUCCUACAGAAUACAUAUGGCAUGGAACCAAUGGACCCUGUUGCUGUUAGAACUGCAUCCCACAUCUAUGACAGCUAUGUGACAUCACAUGGUUCAUAUAAAUCAAGGUAACUCCUGGAGCCCCACACUCCUAGAGUAUUAAUCAUAAGCAAAGUUACAAAGGAAUUGCAGUAUUUAAGGAAGUAGGAGGCAACAAAUCUGGAAAUAAUUUUUCAAAACAUUUCUGUACUAAGUAAUGUUAGAGGGCAGACUUUAAGCAAUACAAUUUCUAAAGCAUUUAAUUGUUUGAGUAUAAGAAAUAAUAAUAAAGAGGAGACAGAGUCAAGGAAGGUGUAGAGGCAGGGAAGAUAGCAGAGUGGCUCUUUGUCCAAGUGGCCACAUUUAUUUAUACCAGUAGGUUACAUUAGGUCAUUAGUAUCAUAACCACAUUAUUGUUUAGAGUAUCAGUAAGGUUGCUUAUUCUGUAGUUACAUUUCACAGUUACAAUAUGUAAUGUUAGGAGCUUUCUCAAGAAAGUCCAUUGCCUGAAGUUACUGUUAGGUGGGCAGAUCCAGGAGCACUGGAGCUUGGUGAAUCAUUGUAGUUAUCAAGAAAGCAAGUUCCUUUAUUCCUGGGAGUUAUGUGCCUACCAUUAAGGUGGAAACUGAUAUGACUCUAGCAUGGAGGGUAUUACCAUAGCAACCAGGCAUCCUAUGCCUUUGCACAGAAACUAAGCAUGCCACAGCCAUGAAGUCAUCAGGGACCCAAUACCAAACACAGAACCCCUACAUUUGAGUUGUCAGAAGUAAUUUUUAACACAGUUGUUUCAUCAGAGAGAGAAUCUACAGAGCUCUUGUGUUGCUAUUUCAGAAAUGGUCGCUGUUUCACAUUUUAAGCUAACUAGGCUGAAAUGAUAAUCACACAGUGGCUUUGGCCCUCUUGACUGAGGUUUCCUGCAGUGAGAGAGAUGUGAGGACUGCAUGGAGCACUUCACUGGCAGAAUGGUGUCCAAGUUCAACAAUAUGCUUGGGAGACUGCUAGAUGGAGAGGCCAAGGAUGAAAGGCUGGGUCAUGACAGUGAAAUCCACAGGGAACAGAUGCUGGUGCAGAAAGAGCUGGAGUGCUGGGAAUCUGAUGAUGCAGCUUCCUAGACAAGUCACAGUCUAGGCACACCUGCGGGACUCAAUGUCAGCCUCGCCCCAGAGGAUCCUGCCCUUCCUCCUCCCUGUCCACAGAUGGCACAGAAGGUGGAGUCGGAAAGAAUACAUUCUUCUACCACAAUGCACUAAUAUCCAUGCAUUGUGGUAGAAGAGAAUGGAAAAUUUAGCAGUUUAGGAGCUGACAGGCUGUGGUUUUGCAAGCUGACACAUAGCAGCUCCACUUACUGACAUUUAAACAUAGAGGUUUACGGCAGCUAACAAGUACUUGUAACCACAGUAGGAGAAGCAGGAAACAAAAUACUGGGAACAGAACAACCCCCCUUUAGGCUUAGUGUUGUAAAAAUCCCUAAAUUGUCUGAGCUGAGUCCCUAGCUACUGACAAGCAGAGUGUUUGUAUCCAUAUAAGUAAUAUAGAAUACAGAAUUGCAUCAACUCCAACAGAAUUGCAUCAACUCCCUUGCCUUGAUGUACACCAAACUUGCUUAUGUAUAAAAGUAAAAGCCUGCUGUACUUGGGGCUCAGACUUUGGGAAUUAUCCCUCAGGGCUAUGGCUACUAAUAAAGUGUUGCUUCCA